GGAGAGGUGGGUGAGUGGCUGAAACCGCAUGUUUGCUAAACAUGUGUACGGGUGACCGUACCGGGGGUUCGAAUCCCCCUCUCUCCGCCA
Molecule: transfer RNA, 90 nt
Filed under: Flavobacteriales bacterium
Lineage: Bacteria; Pseudomonadati; Bacteroidota; Flavobacteriia; Flavobacteriales
Description: tRNA-Ser
Rfam family: tRNA
About the family: Transfer RNA (tRNA) molecules are approximately 80 nucleotides in length.
Source: RNAcentral